AAAAUUGGUUUUAUAGGACAAAACCACCACUAAUAGAGCAUAUUAAAUUAUAGAUAAUCUGGGAGGGGAAAAGUUGAAUGGCCAUCCUGAAGAAUAACUUUACCCUCUACAAAAGGACCUAUUUUGGAAGCUGAUUGACAUUGAUAGACAAAUUGUACCUGUCAAUGUUAACAGUAAAUAACAAGUUUCUAGUACAAUUUGUAUUUGCGUGAUUAUUUGACCCAAGCCAAGGUGUGGAUUGGCCAAUUAUAAAUGAAAUUGAUUUUAUAAGUGGGAAAUUUCAAUUCCCAGUUAGCUUUAAUCCGCGAUGAUGUCGAAUACUUUUUUCAGGUCUUUCAGCCUGAUAUACUACAUAUCCUGUGUCUUCGGGACGCUGCCAUUCCUUUACGUCAAGACGAAACGCACCUUUAAACUGUCGAAAGCACGUCUCGCCUAUACAGUUUUCAUGAUAGUUUUUUGCCUUGCGCACGGUAUAGUAACGCCGCACAUGGUUGUAGAAAGUGAUGUCGUGCCGGACAAGCCGAUUCCCAGACCGGAGCCCACUUCUAACAUAAUUUGUAUGUAACGAGUAAUGUGACUAUUAAGAACAUUGAAUUGGUUCGUCAUUGCAACAGAAAGCUCUGUGAUCUACUCCAAGAUCUUAACGAUAUCUUCAGUUUGCACCUGCUGAGCAUCAUUACUGGCUGUUUUUUAAAAAUUCUCUUUAACAUUUAUCUUGUGAUAUUCAGCUGGUUUUUCUCUAGCCAAGGCACCAUCUUCCUGAUAAAUACAAUCCUCUGGGGCUUCUUUUAUUUUUCAAAAUUCAUUGUUACAACUCUUGUCUCAUGCGUUGUUGCUAAAGAGGCUGGUAGGACAAGGUUUAUACUUUGUUCAAUUUCAAACUGCAGUUUUAAUCUAGAAAUAAAAGAGGAGCUCGAUACUUUUCUCCGUAAUACAACAGAUAGAAACUUUAAGUUUACAGCUUGUGGCCUACUAACGAUAAAUCCAAAGUUAAUCACAUCUGCUAUUGCAGCAUGUACAACCUAUUUGGUUAUAUUGGUUCAGUUUAGACCAGUGGCUUAAGAAAAAAUAAAUACA
Long non-coding RNA from Cimex lectularius (bed bug), 1077 nucleotides. RefSeq lists it as uncharacterized. NCBI's taxonomy places the organism in Eukaryota, Metazoa, Arthropoda, Insecta, Hemiptera, Cimicidae. The record is from RefSeq and is a predicted model, not a curated record. The transcript has 5 exons.